CCUACGGGUGGCAGCAGUGGGGAAUAUUGCACAAUGGGGGAAACCCUGAUGCAGCGACGCCGCGUGAGUGAAGAAGUAUUUCGGUAUGUAAAGCUCUAUCAGCAGGGAAGAAAAUGACGGUACCUGAGUAAGAAGCCCCGGCUAACUACGUGCCAGCAGCCGCGGUAAUACGUAGGGGGCAAGCGUUAUCCGGAUUUACUGGGUGUAAAGGGAGCGUAGACGGCAGCACAAGUCUGGAGUGAAAGGCGGGGGCUCAACCCCCGGACUGCUCAGGAAACUGUUCGGGUAGAGGGCAGGAGAGGGAAGUGGAAUUCCCAGUGUAGCCGUGAAAGGCGUAGAUAUUAAGAGGAACACCAGUGGCGAAGGCGGCUUACUGGACUGUAACUGACGUUGAGGCUCGAAAGCGUGGGGAGCAAACAGGAUUAGAUACCCCUGUAGUC
Molecule: ribosomal RNA, 440 nt
Filed under: uncultured bacterium
Lineage: Bacteria
Description: partial 16S ribosomal RNA
Rfam family: Bacterial small subunit ribosomal RNA
Source: RNAcentral